Molecule: non-coding RNA, 45 nt
Filed under: Schistosoma mansoni
Lineage: Eukaryota; Metazoa; Platyhelminthes; Trematoda; Strigeidida; Schistosomatidae
Source: RNAcentral
AUCCAGUUGGCGAGUCCCAAAUAGAACGAAAUACUUGUCCUGGAU